UCUGCCUGCUUUGUACCCACUCCAUGA
This 27-nucleotide non-coding RNA is filed under the name Mus musculus (house mouse). Lineage: Eukaryota; Metazoa; Chordata; Mammalia; Rodentia; Muridae. The record is from RNAcentral.